This 500-nucleotide ribosomal RNA is filed under the name uncultured bacterium. RNAcentral describes it as "bacterial SSU rRNA". It matches the Rfam family "Bacterial small subunit ribosomal RNA", at positions 24 to 518 of the family's 1533-position model. The record is from RNAcentral.
UCAGGAUGAACGCUAGCUACAGGCUAACACAUGCAAGUCGAGGGGCAGCAUUGGAGUAGCAAUACUCAGAUGGCGACCGGCGCACGGGUGGGUAACACGUAUCCAACCUGCCGCUUACUCGGGGAUAGCCUUUCGAAAGAAAGAUUAAUACCCGAUGGUAUAAAGAGUUCGCAUGUUCUCUUUAUUAAAGAAUUUCGGUAAGCGAUGGGGAUGCGUUCCAUUAGAUAGUUGGCGGGGUAACGGCCCACCAAGUCUACGAUGGAUAGGGGUUCUGAGAGGAAGGUCCCCCACAUUGGAACUGAGACACGGUCCAAACUCCUACGGGAGGCAGCAGUGAGGAAUAUUGGUCAAUGGACGAGAGUCUGAACCAGCCAAGUAGCGUGAAGGAUGACUGCCCUAUGGGUUGUAAACUUCUUUUAUAAGGGAAUAAAGUGAGGGACGUGUCCCUUUUUGUAUGUACCUUAUGAAUAAGGAUCGGCUAACUCCGUGCCAGCAGCAGC